UCUGGCGGCUUUAGCGCGGUGGUCCCACCUGACCCCAUGCCGAACUCAGAAGUGAAACGCCGUAGCGCCGAUGGUAGUGUGGGGUCUCCCCAUGCGAGAGUAGGGAACUGCCAGAC
RNAcentral lists this ribosomal RNA (116 nucleotides) under Enterobacter asburiae. Lineage: Bacteria; Pseudomonadati; Pseudomonadota; Gammaproteobacteria; Enterobacterales; Enterobacteriaceae. The record is from RNAcentral. RNAcentral also lists the same sequence under 8 other names.